This 153-nucleotide ribosomal RNA is filed under the name uncultured bacterium. Its description in RNAcentral is "partial 16S ribosomal RNA". It matches the Rfam family "Bacterial small subunit ribosomal RNA", at positions 338 to 508 of the family's 1533-position model. The record is from RNAcentral.
CCUACGGGAGGCAGCAGUGGGGAAUAUUGGACAAUGGGCGCAAGCCUGAUCCAGCCAUGCCGCGUGAGUGAAGAAGGCCCUAGGGUUGUAAAGCUCUUUCACCGGUGAAGAUAAUGACGGUAACCGGAGAAGAAGCCCCGGCUAACUUCGUGC